GAUGAACGCUGGCGGCGUGCCUAAUACAUGCAAGUCGAGCGAACAGACGUGGAGCUUGCUCCUCUGACGUUAGCGGCGGACGGGUGAGUAACACGUGGAUAACCUACCUAUAAGACUGGGAUAACUUCGGGAAACCGGAGCUAAUACCGGAUAAUAUAUUGAACCGCAUGGUUCAAUAGUGAAAGACGGUUUUGCUGUCACUUAUAGAUGGAUCCGCGCCGCAUUAGCUAGUUGGUAAGGUAACGGCUUACCAAGGCAACGAUGCGUAGCCGACCUGAGAGGGUGAUCGGCCACACUGGAACUGAGACACGGUCCAGACUCCUACGGGAGGCAGCAGUAGGGAAUCUUCCGCAAUGGGCGAAAGCCGGACGGAGCAACGCCGCGUGAGUGAUGAAGGUCUUCGGAUCGUAAAACUCUGUUAUUAGGGAAGAACAAAUGUGUAAGUAACUAUGCACGUCUUGACGGUACCUAAUCAGAAAGCCACGGCUAACUACGUG
Molecule: ribosomal RNA, 497 nt
Filed under: uncultured bacterium
Lineage: Bacteria
Description: partial 16S ribosomal RNA
Rfam family: Bacterial small subunit ribosomal RNA
Source: RNAcentral